Molecule: long non-coding RNA, 797 nt
Filed under: Ananas comosus (pineapple)
Lineage: Eukaryota; Viridiplantae; Streptophyta; Magnoliopsida; Poales; Bromeliaceae
Description: long non-coding RNA (ACOM_LNC012776)
Source: RNAcentral
AAAUGAUAUCGAAAAAUUAUGAAAUUUAGUUUCUAAUUACUUUUAAUAGUGUAGAUCAAGUCUAACGGAGCCGAUCGUCGAUUUGUAAGCCGUAUCAUCGAAAACAACUUGGUAGCACGGAGUCCUCCGUGCUACCGAUAGUAUAGUAGCCUAGUUAUAUAUAUAUAUAGAGAAUUAGACUGGAAUACUAUUAAUAGUAAAACGCUCUUUUUGCUAUUAAGUUUUUAACCCUUGGAUCAAAAAUUGUAGGGUCAGGAUGAUAUUAGUCGGUUAGAGUUGAGUGGUCCUCCUAGGGUUAAGUGGUCCUCACCGGGUUAUAGUAUUUAAAUCCAAUGGUUAGAAAUAAUGAAAAAAGUUGAUUCAAAGGCUAAAAAAUUGAUAGCAACAAUGAAAUUUUGCUACUAAUAGUAGCCCAGUCCAACUCUAUAUAUAUAUAUAUAUAGAGUCCGGCUACUAUGCUAUUAAUAGUACGAAGCACUUGGUGCUAUCAAGUUUUUCGCCGUUAGAUCUACCCCUUUAAUCAUUUUCACCCGUUAGAUCAUACUAUUCAACCAACCACCCACUCAACCUUAUGGGGCCCACAUCAUCCUAACCGCACAUCUCUUAAUCCAAUAGUCAAAAAUUUAGUAACACCAAUAACUUGGUACUAUUAAUAGCAUAGUAGUCUAAUUCUAUAUAUAUAUAUAUAUAUAUUCUACGUCCUAUCCAUUCAAUUGGUGAGGUGAAGUGACUAGUAAUUCACACUCACCCUUUGAUGGAUAGGAUGUAACUUGUGCAUCCUAAUUGGAGUGUACAAA